Siniperca chuatsi (mandarin fish) is the source of this 2899-nucleotide long non-coding RNA. RefSeq lists it as uncharacterized. The transcript is spliced from 2 exons. NCBI's taxonomy places the organism in Eukaryota, Metazoa, Chordata, Actinopteri, Centrarchiformes, Sinipercidae. The record is from RefSeq and is a predicted model, not a curated record.
CUUGUAGUCUUGACAGCGUAAUCCACCAGGCUGCUCAGCAUUAACACAGGCAAAGCCAUGAGUAGCGUCAUAUCUGCAAAAUAUAUAAUAAGCAAACUAUUAAAGGGGCACUCCAUCAGUUUUACACAGGAAUGUCACUUUACUCUCACACGGAGAACUGCUCCACCUGUGAAAAUGGAAGUGUAAUACUGAAUCACUGGCGUACCCAUUUAAAGGAAUAGUUUUUUUUGGAAAUACCACUCAUGUCUGUACAGUAAAUAUGAAGCUACUGCCAGCAGCAGGUUUGCUUAGCAUAAAGACUGAAAACAAGGGUAACAGCUAGCCUGGCUCUGUCCAAAGGUAACAAAAUCUGCCCAGCACCUCUAAAACUCAUUAAGUAACAUGCUAUAUCUUGUCUGUUUCAUCCACCCAAAAAAACAGUGUAAAAACAACACGGUGUAGUUUACACAGGGUUAUGUGCCUGACUAAAUCUUGGCCAGGCGCAGUCACUUCCUGUUGUGGGGUUGCCAGGUAACCAGUGGAGACUCUUGUUGCCUGUACUAUGAAGCAGGAUUUGGGGUUAGCGAGGUAACUUCAGGUUAAACCCUGGGUUUUCAGGGUUACGACAGUGGUUCACUUCUUACUGGGGUACAUCGCCAUGGUAACUUAGGCAAUUUGCACACCUAACCUGUAUCACGGUGUUGGCAAGCGGAGAACAGGGAAAGGACCCAAAUGCAGAACGGUAGGAUUGGAGGCCGACGACAGAGGGACUGGUGGAGCCAGUGAUGCCUGGAAACCAGGAGGCUGCAGCUCAGGAGGCUCAGAAGACUGCUGCAGCUCAGAAACAAUGGAUUGCAGCAGCCCAGGAGCAGGACUGAUGACGGCUCUGAGGCACUGGGCAGCUGAGUCUCUGGAGUGCUGGGCAGCAGUGAGGAUGAACAGCUGGCUGGAAGAGUUUGUCGUCUGCCAUGAAGACCAGAAAACUGGCAUCAAUAAGGCUCAUAUGUAUAUUAAGGUCUUGUUGUGAUCCACAUUUUUCCUUUUCCCUUUUCUCAAAGCUCAACAGCUUUAUAAGAUAAAAUCACACAUGUAGAAAAAUUAAUCCUACCUGCAUGAAAACUUACCCUGACAGAAAUCUGAGGGACAGGCAAACCCAUAGGUGGCAUCAUAACUGCAACAAAGAGGAAAGGGAGGUGAUGAGUGAAGCCUAUCACCCCUUCAUCUUCAGGUAAUUCUAUUUUUCUAUGUUGUUAAUCUCACUUUAAAAAGUAUCUGAGGUGUUGGAGGCAGGUUCCCCAGAGAUGGUCUGGACCUCGAUGGCUAUUGGCUUAGGGCAAAUUUCUCUUGGGUAUAUGUUUAGGAGGUCGCUGAGGACCUCAUAGUCUCAGUUUCCUGUUGGGUUGUUAUGAUCAAACCAGAGCAUCCUACAAACAAUGAGGAAUCAAAGAAACCCAUAUUUUAGAGCUCAACCCUAAAUGUUUUUCCUUGAAAUAAAUUAAGUAUCAUUUUUUGUAAUGCCAAAUACCUGAGCAGAACUGUCCUGUGCGGGUGAACUUGACCUUGUAAUAGUCACACUGUCUCUGUUCUGAGUUAAGGCAUACAAGGCCCUCUGAUGCACUGUAACUGCAAAACACCCAUCCCAAUGUUGGUUUUAGCACCAAGAAAAAAUAUGUGGUAUUCAAAAACCUGAGUCUAAGUAAUCUACUGUUUCAUCAUUUCUAAAAGUGGUAGCUCAUGCUAGUUUGUGUGUAUUGAUCCUCUACACGUCACCAACUCUAGAGUGAGUUAAACACCUGACACCUGUAUAUUUCCACCACCAUGUGUGCAGCCAUUCAUUUGAGCACAAAUCUCCUUACAUAAGGUAUCAAAUAACAGCCUUUAAAGUUAAUUUUUUGAUGAAUAUAAACAACUAUUUCUGGCCCAUGCGAAAUGUUUGCACUUGUUUUGUCCUUAUUGAGUUGGUUUGGAGCAGUGGAAACAAUAUCCCAUAGAGGAUCCUAUUAAUAUUAGCCAAUAUCUACUAUUAGUUGUCAGGACUACACCAACUCACAUUAUGUAUUAGGAACAUGUGUUAAUAUCUGAAAGACAAAUAUGUUUUUUCAGUUAUAUUAAAAUACCUUGAAAUCAUGCAAAAUAGUACAGUGAUUUCUCAAAGCUCUGUAAAUAUUUGUUUCAGUUCUAGAAAAUUAUGAUUAAAAAUGUCUGUUAUUCAUAAAAAGCGGAAAAUAAACAGUUUUUGACUCAGACGUUGUACCACAGUAUGAAUCAUCGAAAGUUAAGAGUUUACGUGUGAAAAGAGUUCCUGGUGUGCUGCGACUUGAUUCCAGAAACUGUCUGAGCCUCCAUGUCCACUGGGUUGGAGCAGAUCCUCGUCCAGUGCGUCCUUCUCAAGUCACUCAAGACCUCUGAGUCCCUGUCACCGGAAACAUCCCCUUCAUCAAACCAGGCUGUCUUACAGGCUGCGGAAGGGAAGAGACAAUCUGUUGUGCAUUAAUGCUUAAUUUCUCAAUAGAGUAAGGCAAAAAUAUAAUGCAGGGCUUACUUUCCAAUGCAUUAACAAAGAAUUGAAGGUCUGGAGGAAGAAGUCUUUGAUCUGUUAUAAAAACAUUUUUUGUAACUAUUUGUAAACUAUUGUGUGCAUGAACUAAUAAGAAAUUAAACAAUCAUUAUAUUACCUGAUGCUAGUAGACACCAAACUGCAAAGCUCUAAAGAAAAACAAAGAAAUCAAAGAAAUCACUAGUAUGUACCAUAAUAAAAUACACAAAUUGAAUCAGUUGAAAAUGCACAGAAUCACAGUACCUGUAAAACGAGCAUGAUUUUCUAUCUGGUGAUCUUGAGGAGGGAAAUUAUAAAAAUCCACUUGUGCUCAAGUUCUUCAUUAAAGUGGAAAUAAAAUGUCCUUUGGAUGUUACACACAAA